AUUGGAAAGCACUUUGAGAUCCUAGCAUGAGAAGGUCAAAAUAUCAUUAAUAAUAACAACUUCUAUUUUCUUCUCCAGGUGCCAGUGCGCAUUCAUUUGUUUUUGAUGUAUUUCAGAAAGUGAAGGACACCAUCGAAAGAGUAUGUGAGCCGCUGAUGUCUCUGAGUCAGGAUUUCAGGAUCAAAUUGCUGGGAACCUUUAAGAGCUUUCUGCAGGAUGGUGAUGUUAUAUCAGAUGUUAAAACUGUGCGGGGGGUCAACCUAAGCACUCAAUGCUGGACUCGUUGGAUGAAAUUCUCCGGCCUCAGGCGGAAAAUUUGCUUCAUGAUUUAGGAGUUUUCUGUGAGGAUCAGAGAGAAGAAUCCCCUUCAUUAUUGCAACCGGUACACUUCCUGUGUUCUUCUUUAGAAGAUCUGGACUUUAGAGUGCUGCCCCUGCUUGUGACCUGCAUAGAGAAGAACAUGGUGGCCAAGCAGCUUGCGCUGAUGGAUGGCAUCAUGGAGUGGAUUCUUUCCAGUGACAAAGAAAGAAUCUUCAGCCUGGCCUCUUCUCUGCCAGAAGAAGAAAAGGACGUAACUGCAGAAAUGAUGAAUACCUGCGGAUUGAUUCCACAGACAGACA
RNAcentral lists this long non-coding RNA (620 nucleotides) under Chrysemys picta bellii (western painted turtle). Its description in RNAcentral is "lncRNA (ENSCPBG00000004495.1)". Lineage: Eukaryota; Metazoa; Chordata; Testudines; Emydidae. The record is from RNAcentral.